AUUACUCCUACGGGAGGCAGCAGUGGGGAAUAUUGGACAAUGGGGGCAACCCUGAUCCAGCCAUGCCGCGUGAGUGAUGAAGGCCUUAGGGUUGUAAAACUCUUUUAUCCGGGAAGAUAAUGACUGUACCGGAAGAAUAAGCCCCGGCUAACUUCGUGCCAGCAGCCGCGGUAAUAAU
This 178-nucleotide ribosomal RNA is filed under the name uncultured bacterium. Its description in RNAcentral is "partial 16S ribosomal RNA". It matches the Rfam family "Bacterial small subunit ribosomal RNA", at positions 332 to 526 of the family's 1533-position model. The record is from RNAcentral.